UUCGCAAUGCCCGAAAGGGUGACGAAGCGACGCCGCGUGCGGGAGGAAGGCCUUCGGGUUGUAAACCGCUGUCGGGAGUUAAGAAAUGCAAGAAUGUUAAUAGCGUUCUUGCUUGACUAAGGCUCCGGAGGAAGCCACGGCUAACUCUGUGCCAGCAGCCGCGGUAAUACAGAGGCGGCAAGCGUUGUUCGGAAUUAUUGGGCGUAAAGAGCACGUAGGCGGCCUUGCAAGUCGGUUGUGAAAGCCUUCCGCUUAACGGAAGAACGGCAUCUGAUACUACAGGGCUUGAGUACGGGAGGGGAGAGUGGAACUUCUGGUGGAGCGGUGAAAUGCGUAGAUAUCAGAAGGAACGCCGGCGGCGAAAGCGACUCUCUGGUCCGAAACUGACGCUGAGUGUGCGAAAGCUAGGGGAGCAAACGGGAUUAGAUACCCCGGUAGUCCUAGCCGUAAACGAUGGGCACUAAGUAGAGGGGUUUU
This 477-nucleotide ribosomal RNA is filed under the name uncultured Candidatus Kuenenia sp. RNAcentral describes it as "bacterial SSU rRNA". It matches the Rfam family "Bacterial small subunit ribosomal RNA", at positions 365 to 832 of the family's 1533-position model. The record is from RNAcentral. Lineage: Bacteria; Pseudomonadati; Planctomycetota; Candidatus Brocadiia; Candidatus Brocadiales; Candidatus Brocadiaceae.